CAUUCACUGAAAGCGACAUUACAACAGAAAUGUUUACAGGCACCACAAUACCAGAGACAACAUUCACUGAAAGCGACACUACAACAGAAAUGUAUACAGCACACAGCGCAAUGCAACAAACAACAAAUGAGAUCAUAAACGGAAAUGGUGUUCUGUAUGAAUACGGGAACGCAACUGACAGUCUGAGCAUAAGGAC
This is a long non-coding RNA of Xenopus tropicalis (tropical clawed frog), 196 nucleotides long. RefSeq lists it as uncharacterized. The transcript is spliced from 4 exons. Lineage: Eukaryota; Metazoa; Chordata; Amphibia; Anura; Pipidae. The record is from RefSeq and is a predicted model, not a curated record.